This 6846-nucleotide long non-coding RNA is filed under the name Sus scrofa (pig). RNAcentral describes it as "lncRNA (ENSSSCG00030055655.1)". Lineage: Eukaryota; Metazoa; Chordata; Mammalia; Artiodactyla; Suidae. The record is from RNAcentral.
CAACAUUAGUGUUGUUUAGAAAAGUAAGGGGAAGAAAAAAAAAAAAAAGCAGGUAGGGGGAAAAUGAGGGCUCAUGCAAAACCAACCUUAGAGUUGGAGAGGCACAGAGAAGUCUUUGAAGGAUUAAAGAUGACCUUCUCUGAGGACACACUCCUCUUCUCCUAGACGUCUGUCACACUGCCCCAGCUGAUGUAGAAGCAAGUCACAAGGCUGAGGUCAUGUGAGUUCUGGGAUCUGGGGCUGCUGACUCAAUGCUCCCAUGGAGGCGUACACUGAAGCCCUGCAUGUGCACUGUCCUGAAACUGGGUGGAGAUGGGGGGUGGCUCUGCCUCUGCUAAGAAACUAGUGGGAAUUAUUUUAAUUCUAGCUCUGUCCUUCUAGCUAGCUGCAUAGACAGUUUACUUAAUUUAUGUGUCAGUUUCCUAGAAGGGUUGUUUUGAGGAUUUGUGUAAAAUAUCCAGCAUAAUGCCUGGAGUUAGCAAGGUUUUGAUAUAUGGUAGCGCUGAUGAGGAUGAUGGUUAUGAUGGUGGUGGUGGUGGUGGUGAUGAGGAAGGGGAGGUGGGAAAGGGAUAUAGAUGAGAAGGAUGAUUCAAAGAACCAAACAUUGGCUAAGAUCUGGCUUGAACCCAGCUCACUAUUCAGAUCAAAUAUUUUCUUUCUGGCACUGAAUAUGACCAGGAAUUACGAUGCACUUUCCUGUUUUUAUAAGAUUUCACACACACACACACACACACACACACACACACACACUUGCUAUCAUAUCUAAUCUCAUAUUAAAAUUCAUAAAAACAAAGAAUGGCAGUCUUCAAACAAAACUGAGUUAUUACAAAACACGUCUGGAUGAAACAAUUUUAAUUUUAAACUAGAUUUCCUUUACCUCCUUUUUUUUUUUUCAAGGAGUGAGAGAGAAUUUUCCAUACUUAAGUAGGAAAUUUUAAACAUUCUAGAAAGAAAACAUACAACAAAAUUAGCAGAUGAUCUUGGCUUUUGACUAAUUUCUACAUCAAAAAAUAAAAUUGAUAAAUAUUUUUGCUCAACAUUACAAAAAUGUUCAGCCGUAUACAUCAUUCAAGAUGAUUUCUAGUAGCAUCCUUUUCUGAGAAGCCCUCAAAUAAAGGCACUAGCCUCAUGGUGGUGGGUAGAGACAUUGAGAAUCAGAGCGAGUAUAGAACAAACCUAUAGCUUUCAUUUGGGAAUCCUUCCAAGUUGGGGUAGAGGUGGGACUGGGAGACAUAUUAUAAGUUCAUACAGCAAGUUUAACUGGAUUUUGUUCUAGUCAUAUUGCUGCACAUAUCUUUAUUAGUGCUUAUUUAAUAGCAUCACAAGGAACAGUUCUCUGUUCCACUGGGCUGCAUAUUCUUUGCAAAAUAGUGCAUCAGUGUGAGAUGGGGUGGAGGGCUUGGGUGGUGAAAUUGUAGUUAAUUCAUUAUUGUGUUUCCUGGGCUGAGUCUUGUUUGGCACUUAGGAUAGGUGCUCAAUGAAUGCUUGAAUAAAUAAUUGAAUAUAAGAUUGAAUGAAAAAAAGCAAUAUGCUUUCUGUUUUCAUUUUCCCCUCAGUACCUAAUUUGGUCUAUGGUUGGCUUAGGUAAAGCUAAUGGCAGCCCACUGCAUGCCAAGACUGGACCAUCUUGUAACCAAAUUGCUUAUGAAAGCAGUCUGAAGUGGAUGGUACAGACUUUGAGACCAAAUAUCAACAGUGCUGUAAGCCAACAGGUACCAUUAGGAAGAGGGAAAAAAAGCUUUGAGGAAAUUUAAUAAUAAAAUUCAAGAUUGCCAUCAAGUUUAUUGAUUCAAAACUCAAGAAGUUUACAAUUUUCAAAAAAGCUUUUCUUGGCAAAUUAUAUCCUGAGAGUUGAGCACAUAGUAGUAAAUUGAUAACUAAGAUUACUGAGAGAAUAAAAGUUGCAGGUAGGGGUAUUACAUUAGGACUUUUUGGAUGAGUAAUGUACUCACAGAGAUAAGCUUUAUUGCAGAAAACUGAUUAACAAGUUUAUUGUCUGUACAGUGGUGUUCUUGUCAGUGGUGUUCUUGUUGAAUGCUGAGGCUACUGGAAAAUAAGAAGGAAAAGGCAAUUGAAACAUUCCUUGAUUAAAUCUUAUUUGCCUAAAAUUCUUAUAUAUGGAUAAGAUAAUGUCUGGAAACUUCCCCUUCUGUAUCUUCAAAUGCAAAUGCUUUCUCACGGUCUAAGCCAGCAUCAUUUUGGAGCACAAAUAAGUUAUUUUGAAUACUUUGAUCUUUUUCAGUCACUUUGUAGACUACCUUCAGCUGUAAGCUGUCAGAGAUCAUAUUUUGGGAGUAAAAAAAAAAGAAUGGAGAAAUGAAACUUGAAUGUAGGAUGUGGAUAAUCUCUUUCAAGUCAGGUAUUUUGAAUGGAUUUGCCAUGAAAAUUAGUUCUUAAGACAUUUCUUUAGUUUCACAUCGCCCCUAUCAAAUUGGUGUCAGGUUUGGGCUCUCUCCCAAAACAGGAAAGCAAAAUGCCUAGGAUGGUAUGCUUCUAAGACGAGCUUCUUUGAGUAGAAAGCCAUGACCAUUCCCUCUCAGAGCAAAGGACUAAAAAUGUGGCUGGUGGUCCAUAAUGUUGGAAGUGGUACCUAGAGCUUAACUUCUUUUGCUGAACUUCUCAUACCAUCAGAUUGUUGCAUAGUUCCAUCAACCAACAGGAUUAUCAUGAACAUUAAACACAAUAAUCUAUAUACAAUUGCCUUGUGAACUGUAAAAAGUUGUGUAAGUGUAUUAUUUUUCUAAGUUAUAGUGAAUCUUGAGUAUAUGUUAAAAAAGUACAUAAGAAAUUUUUUGCUAAAUUAAAAACGUCAUAAAUUUCUUCUUUUGGACAUAUCUGCUUUACCUUGUAAAAGAAUCUCUGGUAAUCUGGUUAGAAGAAUUUUAAAGUAGAACUACAAUGUUUUUUGGUUUAGUUUUUCUUUUUAUGGCUGCACUUGAAGCAUGUGGAAGUUCCCAGGCUAGGAUUCAGAUCAGAGCUGCAGCUGCUGGCCUACGCCACAGCCAUGGCAAUGCCAGAUCCAAGCCACAUCUGUGGCCUAUGCCUCAGCUUGGGGUAAUGCCAGACCCUUAAUCCACUGAGUGAGGCCAGGGAUUGAAACCACAUCCUCAUAGAGACAAUAUUGGGCACUUAAUCCCUGAGCCACAGGAACUCCAGAACUAGAAUAUUUUUUAUUUCUCUUGGGUUUUAAUAAACAUUGUGUGAGAAAUGUCUCCAUGGGCAUUUGUCACAACUCCAUAGAAUUGGACAAGAAGCCAGAGGACCUGGAUCUGUGUCCAAAUCCAUCAUUAACUGUGCCACUUUGGGCAGAACCUUUCUGAGCUUGAUUUCCCAAGCAAUAAAGCAGUAGAAAUAGUGCUACCUGACUUGCUUAUCUCAUAAAAUUAUUGAAGAAAGCAAAUGAGAAAAUGAAUGUAGACCUCUUAGAAAUCUAUAAUAAAACUCUGCUCAAAUAUAGCAUUCUGCCUUCUUCCUCUGAAAUUACUAAUAACAGUUUGCUAUACUGUCAAUGGACUUGACUAUAUAAUAAGAAUAGCUUUUCAUUUUGGUUUUUUUUUUUCCAAGUGUACAGUUAAAUGAAACCAUUAUAUCGAUGUUUACAUACCAGGCCAGUGAGAAAUGGCACUAAAAUAUGCACUAUCUUAGCUUUAGUGAAAUAGUUAUUCAAAUGAAAGUGGAAUGCAUUAUCUCAGAGUAUUAGAAAAUGGAUCAUUAGCUUCUUGGUUAUUACUGCUAUAAAUAGGGGUUUUUUUUGGUAAAUAAAAUUAGCCCAGUAUUAUAAGCAAUCAUUUUCAAACUUCAGAGCAACUUGAUGUAGGUGACUUUUUUUUUUACACAACUUAAGAUGAAAUUAAAAAGGAUAAAUUCCUCAGAAAAAUCCAGAUGGCUAAUACCAGUCAGCACUGUACUCCACCUAUUCAAGUUUAUGAUAUGUCUAUGGUAUGUUUUUAAUUUCCUAAAUAACUGACUCAAAUCACCAUUCAAAAGGCUCUUUAGGCUUUGAAUUAUCCAAACAACCUAUAUUGAUCUCACAAAUCAGAUAAUUGGUGAAUAAAUAUCUGCUUUGCUUUGUGCAAUGCUGAUACAGCUUCUAAGGUGAAAUGAGUUUCAGAGAGAUUCACACAGCAGCUCAUAAGGAAAAUUAUUUUUUCCUCAAAUAACCUGGGCCUUUGACAUUUUCAUUUUUAGAAUAAAAAGUGUUUAGGUAAUCAAAAUGGCAUAUUCAUGUCUCUCCUUUGUGCUUCUAAAAUAAUUUACUGCCAAAAUGUCUUGAGGUAGUAUGCUGACAGGUUCUGUGUAAAUAUACACUGUUAGCAAAAAAGCUAUGCAUUGUAUGUUACUGGGGACACUGCCGCUGAAUAGCUUUCAUUGGACUUUAUAGGAAAGAGCCAUAAGCAAUAUCAGAAUGUUUUGAAUAAUUAACAGGGAACUAAGUGGUGUGUCAAGUAAAUGGAAUGGCUUACUUGGAAUGUCUAGUUUAUACCAAUUUAUAUUCAGCUCUGGAUAGCAAAAAUUAGUGAUUUCUCUUCUUAUCAGCUAAACACCCUUCACGAUCUCUCCCUCUUUAAUAGGUAGCACUAAGUUGAAGACGUCAUCCAUCCAUCACCUUGUGCCACUGAUGGUCAUGAGAAAAGAUCAGCUAACAGCUCACAAAUAGUGCAGGCUUCAAGAAAGAGUAGAGCAUGCUGUUGACAAAGCAGGGUUUCUUUCACUGAGCCCCAGGAGGAGUUAUAAAAACAACCUGAAGUUGAAAUUUUCAAACACAGGGUGGAUUGUGGUCAUGAGGUCAGAGCCUUUUGCAGGCAAUAAUUUUCCACUGGGGUUUGAGGGAGAGACUAAUAAACAUGGUUAAAAUUACUCUUCAGUUCUGGUUAUACAAAUGCAAAAGUCAGAGAAUGGAUUGCAACUCUGUGGGAUAGAAAAUUAAAUAUAAUACUUGAGUUAUUAAAGAAUUCAGUAAAUAACCAGGGAUCACUUAUAUAUGGCAAAAUCUGUCAGUAAGCACUAAACUUCCCAUCAAGAGAGUUCUCAACUUGUAUUUCCAACUCUAAGCUGCCUAUAAAAUAAAGCCAUAGUAUUCAGUGAAGCCAAAGAGCUUUUCAUGUGAUGAAUCCUAAGCAGGACCUGUCGUUUAGAUUCUUCCAUUUGAUGGUGAUUGACAGUUCUUGAAAUGCUUGACACUGAAGGCUCCUAAGUGAAGAAAUACAAUCAUAUUGUGUUGCUUUCUUCCUUAUCUUUGCUCUGUCUUUACCUUAGCAAGGGCUCAAUAAAGGCAGUCCAGGAAUUUAACUAAUUAUUUAAUUUGAGACAAAUGAAACUAGAACUCUAGUUUAAAAAUCCCAAAUCUUUGUUAAAUUUGUGAUCCACAUCAAGUAAAACUUCACUAUGAAAUACUGGAGAUGGCCUUUGGCCCUUCUGGUCACCUGGCUUUAAGGUUCUAUUGGGAAAAUUCUUUUGCUCUGUCCUUGGAUUUCUGUGAUAGCACUUCUGUUAAGCACUGUGUCUCAAACUUUCCUCUGCAUGCAAGUCACUUGAGGACUUUGUUACAACAUAGAUUAGGGAGUUCCUGUCAUGGUUCAGUGGAAAGGAAUCUGACUAGAAUCCAUGAGAAUGUGGGUUUGAUCCCUGGCCUCGCCCAGUGGGUUAAGGAUCCAGCAUUGUUGUGAGCUGUAGUGUAGAUUGUAGAUGUGGCUAGGAUCCUGCGUUGCUGUGGCUAUGAUAUAGGCUGGCAGCUGCGGCUCCAAUAGGACCCCUAGCCUGGGAUCUUCCAUAUGCCAUGGGUUGGGCCCUAAAAAGCAAAACAAACAAACAAACAAAAAAACCUAGAUCGAAGGUAGAUAAGAUAGAUAAGUAAGGAUGGGGCCUGAGAUUCUUCAUUUCCAAGAAACUUCCAGGUGGCCUUAUUGGUCCAAGGAUAGACUUUGAGUAGCAAGGCACUCAAUUUGGCUUUUUCUACACCACUUACUCCACCCAUGGGAGGAAGACUGAUUUGUCUAAUUGGUGAGAUAGCAAGAAAUCUGACACAUCUUCACUCAUGAUCCUCUAGUGAAGGGAGAUAAUGAGGGCAGACACCUUAUUGCAUGCUGUGGGCCUCUUUUGCCCUCUCCCUUUGUGAUUGCCCUGCCAAGGAGUGGAAGUUUUCUUCUCCAUCUGGUGAAGCUCCUGGAGAGUUUCUACCUAUAGGGCAGGCAACCUACUGCUGGGCCUAUGGCAGACAGAUCUUGAAAGUCAGUGGCCUCAGUAAGUCUGUGUAUGCAGAAACCCCUUUGGCAUUGGUCCAAAUAUUGUUUUCAAUCCAGCUCUAUCAGCAGUAAAACUGAUCUUCUCAUCUUUCAUUUGAAUCCUCUAUGUUUCUCAGUUUGUUCUGAAUCUAGUAGGGAGAGAAGAGUAAUUAAUUGGUCCUUUCAAUUUCUACGAAUGCUGUAGAAAUCUGGCUUCCUGAUACAGGAGCUCAUCAUGGCUUCCAGGAUAUCAGAAGGUAGUUAUCUGCUGUGUGGAUCUUCAACUCCUUUUCCCAUGAAUGUCAAGGGAAGAUAAGGAUGAGGGUUAUAUUCAAUAAGAUUUUAAAAAUGAGGUCAACAGAAUGGGAGAAAAUCUCUGACAAGAGAUUAAUCUCCAAAAUAUACAAAUAACUCAUGCAGCUUUAUAUAUCAAAAAACAAAAACAACCCCCUGAAAAUGGUCAGAAAAUCUAAAUAGACAUUUCUCCUAAGAAGAUAGACAAAUGGCCAAAAUGCACAUAAGAAGAUACUCAAUGUCACUAAUUAUUAGAGAAAUGCAAAUCCAAACUAAAUAAGAUAUCACUUCACACUUGUCAGAAUGGUAAUCACCAAAAAAAAAAAAAAAA